Anas platyrhynchos (mallard) is the source of this 7054-nucleotide non-coding RNA. The record is from RefSeq and is a predicted model, not a curated record. NCBI's taxonomy places the organism in Eukaryota, Metazoa, Chordata, Aves, Anseriformes, Anatidae.
GCAAUAGGUAGUUGCACUGCCAGCCCCAAUAAUCAGGUGGCAGAUUCACCAAAAUCAAGAGCUCAUUGUAAGGAUGAUGAUAUUUUAUGGAAAGGAUUAGUAAUGAAUGGGUGUUUGUGUACAUUUCUGCUUUGUCUCCUUGACUGUUUAAAUUUCCUUACAAUUUUUUUUUUUUCAAAUUGCAGACCCCUAAGAAUCAUAUUUACAAGAAAUGAAAUACUAAUAUAUUUAGAAGAGAAAAAUUGAUUUGAUCCGUACAAACUACCAUGACUGCAAGGGCUGGGUUUUUCAGAGUACCAGGAAAUGCCAUGGAAGUCCCUCCAAAGUUGGAAGCAGCCACAGCGAGCUGGCACACGAGCGGUCCUGAACUCACACGGCACCGUGAGGGAUCCGUUCCCCUGGGGAGGAAGCGAAGGGAGGAGGACAAAGAUUGCAGCGUUAAGAUCAUGCUGUUGCUAUGCUGCCUACCCGCCCGUCAGCGCAUUUCUUCGCCAUCCUCCCACGGACGCUCGUCUGACUCCUGCCCCUGCAGCUGGUGCAUGCCAGGCAUCUCCUGACCUGGGCUGGCUUUUGCCUGCAGUUCUCCUGCAGGACUCUUGCUCGCCUCUCCCUGCUCCUGUUUCUCACAGUUGCUCCUAAAUGGAAGGCAAAGCCAAUAAUGGCCAGGCUGGAGGUGAGCUUUCAAACCCACAACAUUGGAGCAGGUUCAGAAGGAAACAAAUGGAGGCUGCUCGGGCAUCAUUUAGGAAAUGGCUGGAGACAGAUGGGCAUUUGGAGCUGAAACAAGAGCAGGAGAGCUGCAGACCUUGGGGCAGCAGGAGGGUUUUGUGCUGCUGCAGGGCAGCUGGCAGUGCUGGCUGGGGGUGGGAGGGGUGCUAGCAGCAGCCCCAGCUGCCCAGGGGAAAGCUGCCUUCCUCCUCAUCAUCAUCAUCAUAACCUGGGCACUGUGAUGGCAGGAGGUGGCAGUUCACGGUGACAGCUUUAUGAGCAGAUCUGUGCGCUGUGGUGAUGAGGCUUAGCUCCUGAAGAGCUCCAAAUGGGACUUUUAGAGGCUCUUAAACCAGCUGUGCAGUGUUUUCUGUUUCACAAGACCAGGUCCAGUCCAAUUUCCAGUGUGAGGACCUGCGUGUGAGUACGCCUGUGUGUGUGCCAGUACUGGAAGGGCUGCAGUGCGCUAAUGAUGAGGUUGUUAAGUGGAGACUGCUAGGGCUGAGGUGGCAGUGGAAGGUCGGGGCUGUGUCCUAACACUUAUCUCACCACGGGAGGUGCUCAGCUUCCUGUAUCCCAGGGCAAGUCAGCAGAAAGGCAGGCGUGUGUAUUUAGCUACAAUUUCCAGGUGCUGAAAAAUACAGACAAUAAAUAAGAUGCUGGAGACCUCCAUCCUCUUGCAUAUAUACCUGUAGUACGUGACCUUCAGCGCUAGAGCAGAUCACUUAGAGAUGGCAAAUAAAUGCAAAAUAUCUUCCUGCUUCACCUGGCCAAAUUUUAUUCAAGAAAGGAUUUAUCUGGAGAAACCAAAGGAAUGCAGUCGGUGUUUGGCUCCUGGGGGCACUUCGCAAGCCAGCCGUCUCUGAUAUCCCAUCCGUCUGCACCCCGGUGUUAAUUCUGGGAGUCACCCAUCACUUAGCCAAGCUAAGCCGUGCUGCAGCUCCAGCCUGUCCCCGCUGGCAGGACGCUCAGCUCUCCGUCUUGUCCUUGUCUUGCCUCUGCCUGCCUCGUGGCACGGAUCUCUGCAGAGCGGCCAGGCCGCCAGCAGCUCUUUCUCUUUGGGUUUGCACAGCCUUUUCCUUGGGAUCCAGGGGACUUGUUUGUAUUAACGUAAUUGGCAAACACAUUGUUCAAAUAUUAGCAGUGGCAGCAAAACCAUUGUGCGGGAGUAGUCGAGGCAAGCAGCCCCUCUGCUCGCAACAGUUAAAACCUGGAUGCUGUUGCCAGGCAUGUUAGGCGCUGAACACGAUCCAGAAAAGCUGUCCAGCUCUGGAGCUGGCUGAGCAGCUCCAGUCUUAGUCAUUAUUAAUGUGACUGGGGAUAAAACUACACAGAAAGCCACUUUCUGCAACCGAAAGCAUGUGAUGAAGCACUUGGCGUUACGUUCAGCCGCCCCUGGUGCGCGGAGCGAGUGAGCAGGAUGACGGGGGCUGUGCUGAGCCUCUUCAAAACCAGAGGAAAGUCAUAAAGGAAAAUGUCCUAAUGGCUUUGCCACUACCCCACAGUUGUGUAAGAUGUGCAGAAGGAGGUUUUCCAGGCACUUGUUGAACAGGACUUCGUGGGAAAGGUUUAUAGUGAUGAGCUGAAUUCCACGACCCCACUGAAUCAAUGGCAUUUUAUGCCAGGUACAAAUUGGGUCAGUAUUUUUAUGAUGAUGGCCUCCACUGAUAUACUGCUUGACUAAAAAAAAAUAAAGGAUAUAAAGUGAUCAUAAAGCUCGGUUUAUGCUUAAACAUAUGGACAUGUGAAUAAUGCAGUUCCUAUAUGACAAUAAAAAGGAUGGGAGGAAGGUCUUUUGAAUUCUUUAUUGAUGAAUUUAAUGUAGUGGGACAAUACCAAAUCAAUGGCAUGAUGAAGGGGCUGGGGUUGCCAGGCCCACAUCUCUGAUUUGGGCCAAUGCUACGGCUGAUGAAAGUGAGAAUUUUGGUCAUUAAAUAUCCAUCUUCCUCCUGAGACUCUGAGAAAGAAAAGUGCCAACAGGAUCAAAGAGAUCUCCAACUCGCAGUCAUUUACAAUGGAGUGCCAGUGAGAGGCAGCUGAGGAAAGCUGAUGGAUGAGGGUGCUGAGGAUUAAUAGGAAUGUUCUUGCAUAUCAGUGCCCCCUAUAAAAAAUCCUGACUACCUCCUCCUUCACCCCACUAUCCACCAAUACUAGCUUUCUUUGGUCUUUCAGGUAAAUCCCUAUUUCUUAGAAAUGUGAGUUAAGGGAGAAUCAUUUCUGUGUAAGAAAACAUGCAGUGUUGUUUUUUUUUUCUGCAGGUGAAGCUGAAAAACACACCCCAGCAUAGCCUGAAGAUGUAAAAGAGAGAAGACACAUAAACAAGAAUUCAGAAUGUAUUUAUAAAAACCUCAUGCAUUUUUUUCAGCUAUUCUCAUGCUGUUUGAACAUGUAAAGCUGGGCACGCUCUGGCUGCAGUCAGAGUAUCUCCUACGAUAACUCUGUUGGAGUUGAGAUGAGCUACAUAAGCAGACAAUUUGGCCCAUAAUUUUUCCUCAUGAUCGGCAAUUUAAAAAAUAAUCUCUGAAGGCAGUGGGUGUUUGAACGCUGUUGUCUCUGCUCAUGCUGUUGCUUUCCCUUACUGCUCCUGAACCCAGCCGGGUGCUGCUUGAAGCCCUGGCACUAUUGCAGCCUUGUCAAAGCACCCUGACCACACUUCUGCUUGACUUGGCCGAAACUGGAGUACAACACGAAUAAAUGCCUGUCCUCUCACUUUUCCAAACCCACAAGGAAUCAAAUCUACCCAAAGUCACCUCUGCUUCAGGUGUGUAACAGCAGUGCCAUGUCCUCCCUUCUGCUAUGGGGAAACUGAUGCUCAAAGGGGAUAUUGUUUUGGCAAACAAACUAAAAACUGAUCUAUAAGAGGGUUAGAGAUGUGAGCCCCAAACCAUAUAUCCUGCCCAUUCAAUUAAUUUUCUUCUAAACACCAAUCUUAGGCUUUAACCAAAAGCCUGUCCUUAAAUGAGAAGCAAGCAAACUCUGUGGUUUCAGCAAAGUGUUUCUGUUCAAACCAAAAAGCCUGGAGCUUUUGGUACAUUAUUGCAUUCAUUUAAAAACUGUUAAAAUUAAUGGGAAAGUGUAAGAAAACAAAAAUCAUUUAGGGAAGCUUUUUGUUUUAAUAUGUAUAAACUCAAAGAGAUUGAUGUACUGAUAUUUUUUCUGCACAACCGUUUUGUUAAUGAAGUAUUUUGUUGCUUAUUUACCUUUACAAAUAUCCAAGGACAGCUUCACCGCAGGGUUUGUUAUUCCCCAGCAAGCAGGAAGUUUGUGGUUUUAGGGAAAUGCUUUUAUUUAACGUUUAAAACAGAAUGCAGAUCUGAUUCACUUGCAGCAUUUCGCUCCAGUAUGAUAUUUCAAUAGAUCAAUAGGAUUGAUAGCAUGAAAAGUUAAAUAUAAACUCAAUUUUGUUGCAAAAUAGUUGAAGGAUAGUGUGAAAAUGCUCCAAAUUUUGUUUUAAGUCAAGAUCCCCCAGAUUUGGCAAUUCAUUUCAUGAUAAUGAUAUUUUGGGGCACAUUAUUCUCUCCCACGGGCUUCAGAGUAGGGCUUAUACCUGUCUACACCGAAGGAAAAUUUGAAACAAUUUCUGCAGCAUCGAUAUUUUCCAGCUGAUUUUUUUUUUUGAAUGCUGCUUUGCAAAUAUUUUGAUGGAAAAUCCCUAACAAUCUCCCACAAUUCAAUGAACUCAAUUGGAUUCCUUAAGUGAUAAAUUCAGAGAAUUGCAGCACCACAGAAUGGCAGGGGUUGGAAGGGACCCUAAAGGCCACCCAGUCCCAGCCCCGUGCCGUGGCAGGGAUGCCACCCACUAGGUGAGCUUGCCCAGGGCCUCAUCCAGCCUGGCCUUGGACACCUUCAGAAAUGGGGCAUCCACAGCUUCUCUGGGCAUCCUGCUUGCACCUGUGCCCAAGGGAAAUCUUUGCAUUUCGUAGCGUUCUUAUUCAGUUUGGGUCUUCCUUGGUUGUGGCCCUGCGUUGCCUCCCAGUUGUGCAGUUCCCACAGGUGACUGGUCGAACACAAGUGUCAUUUUGGCUGCUCCCUGUUCAUAUCUUGGCUGCUUAAUUAUGUCCUGCAGGUGGUGUCCUGGAGGGGUGCAGGGAGAGGAGAGGAGGGAACCUUCCAAGGAGCAUCAGUUCAGGUUGGGUGUCCAUCCAGCCUAAGAAUGGCGAUUGUCACCUCCUUCCCCACCCUUAGACAACAAGUGAGAGCUGUCACAUUCACUGCCAGCACGCUGCCACUUACCCUUUCAGCCUGUAAGUACUGAUAUAACUGUGACAAACGCAUACUCACAGGAACAGGAGAUGUAAGGAUGCAGCUGCAGAUCCUGGACCAUUACAGAUGUUUCCAACAGGCUCCUUCUGUUAUCCCUACAACCUUUCUUCUUCGCUCCCAACCAACCAUGACAUAGCGGAUUCAGCCACAUGGAAUUAAACACAUCUCACUCCCCCUCCCUCUCCCCCCCUUUUUUUUCCCCCAUUAAUUGUAUUUCAUACUGAGUUCUGAUGAGCUUUAGGUAUCUGUCCUUAUAUGAGCCAAAGGUAAUAAAAUAACAACAAGAUCCCCAAAGUACUAAUAGGGUAAUAUGUGGUGAGAGGAAGGUACCAAGUGGAAAAAGAAGCAAGGGAUAAUAUAAAGAAAAGGUAGAAAGAAAAAGGAAUGAUGAGAAGAACAGAGCGAUAAGAGCAGGAAAAAAAAAAAAAAGAAAAAAAAAAGAAAGCAAUGUAAAGUCAGAAAUAGGGGAAAGGCUAAAAGGCAAAAGGGCAGAUGGAAGAGAGAAAGAGGAGAAGAUGAAUGGGUGGGCUGAAGGAAGGCAAAGGAAGGGAAAAGCUGAGUAAGGAGGGAUGAAAGAACUCCAGAGUGAUCGGUUCUGCAGGUGCAUCUCAGCAGGUUGCCUCUGAUCGGCUCUCUCAGGGACACAGCAUGUUACCUGGACUAAUUUAUAAAGGAAAUGAAAAGGAAAUGGACUUGUUAUAAUGAACACCAUUAAUUCACCUCUUCAGACUUCACUGUUUGAACAGAGAGUAUCAAACUACUCAAUUGUCAUUUGUCUAUUCCAUUCUUCUCUGUUGCCUGUUGGAAGUGACUGGUGAGCACAUACGCCCCCGAAUGGCUGCACAGCCACUAAUUAGCAUAUAUAUUGUUUGUCCUGGUACAAAUUUAUAGCAAACAGCAAUAUUUUACACUCCAGUAAAGUUAAUAAAUGAGGCUUUAGGCUAUAAAAAUUUCAUGUUCUUUUGUGCAAAGGUCAAUUAUAAAUAGUUAAGCACAUAUUCAUCCAAAAGCUUUGGGCUCCAGCACUGGAAGAAUAAAAUAUAUUUUGAUCAGUCCACUUGCCAGCUGGACCCAUGCCUCUCGUGCAGCCUCUGAGACACCUUUCUCCAAAUGGCCAUUCAGUUGUAGAGUGCUUUUGGCCAUGAGAUGACUGAGGUCAUGCUUUAGCUUACAGGAGGAAGAUGCUGUGAAAUGUUAGAGGUACGCUAGGAUCACGCUGAGCCAGGCUAGUGGAGAUUUUAAUGGUUCGAGUUGUCCUCUCUGAGAAGCUCUGGGGCUGCAAAAUCAGAUGCGUACACUCAACGGUGCCGCUGAUGCUGUUAAGGACAAAAAGUCCUUAGGGAGAAGCUAAAACUAAGGAAUAUGAAAGCCCUUCCUCAUUUUCCAUAUGCAAAAAAUGUGGGUUUAAAGAUAUCUUUUAUUUGUAUUACGGGAACACGUAGGAGCUGCAUUGUGCUCGACGCUAUAAAUAUAUAGAAGAGAGGUGGCCUGUGUUUUAAAGGGCAUCAUCUGCAUAUGAGUGAUGGAAGGAGAGGUUCUGCAGUCACAUGCGUUAUUACUAAUAUAAUUCCUUUAUAUUACAGCUUCAACAACAAGACUAUGCUGUUAUAUGGGGUCAUAUGUGAACACAGAUAAAGACAGACGUGUCUCCUUGGGACUGAGAGCUUAUAAGACAGGGAUCAAUGAACUGGAUAUAUCUUCUUUCCAUUGCAGGUGGAGGGGAAAUGCACUGGCAUUUCCUGCAACAGCCUUCUUGAGGCUGGAGCUAUUAAAUCACAGAAAAAUUUUGAGGGAUUGUGGUGAAGCUGGCCUGUGACAAUGUGACAAGGAAAUUCAAUCAGAGGACAUGGAGAUUAUAGGAUAGACUAGACUGAGCAGGGGAUGCAAGCAGCUGCUUACUGGAAAGAGACACCGUGAACAAGAGCAUCUGAAGACUUGACACCGCAGGAGGGCUGUGCAUCCAGCGUGUCUCUGUGAAGCUUUGUUCUCAGCUACGGGACAUAUUCAGCCCCACGUAUCAUCCCUCCACUGCCCAGAGACCACAUCAGACACCACCAGCUUCAACAGAGAGAAGGAAAGCCAC